GUCCACGCUGUAAACGAUGAAUACUAGGUGUGGGAGGACUGACCCCUUCCGUGCCGCAGUUAACACAAUAAGUAUUCCACCUGGGGAGUACGACCGCAAGGUUGAAACUCAAAGGAAUUGACGGGGCCCGCACAAGCGGUGGAUUAUGUGGUUUAAUUCGACGCAACGCGAAGAACCUUACCAGGACUUGACAUCCAACUAACGAAGUAGAGAUACAUUAGGUGCCCUUCGGGGAAAGUUGAGACAGGUGGUGCAUGGUUGUCGU
Molecule: ribosomal RNA, 265 nt
Filed under: uncultured bacterium
Lineage: Bacteria
Description: partial 16S ribosomal RNA
Rfam family: Bacterial small subunit ribosomal RNA
Source: RNAcentral